UUUUUUAAUUGGGGACUGGAAUGAAAGGUAGAUACUGAAAGGACGGUUUUUUUAAAAAAUUUUGAAUUUAAUUUAAAAGUAAAAAAGCUUUUAUUAAUCCUUGGGACGAGAAGACCCUAGAAGUUUUUAAUAGGUGAGAUCUAUUUUAAUUGGGGCAAUUAUUGAAGAUUUAAAUUUUUAAUAUAAUUAAUUAUAGUAAAUAAAUUACUCUAGGGAUAACAGCGUAAUUUAAUUUAUGAGUUCUUAUUAAAAGUUAAGUUUGCGACCUCGAUGUUGAAUUAAAA
RNAcentral lists this ribosomal RNA (284 nucleotides) under Cosmetus sp. MZSP 73053. Its description in RNAcentral is "partial large subunit ribosomal RNA". Lineage: Eukaryota; Metazoa; Arthropoda; Arachnida; Opiliones; Cosmetidae. The record is from RNAcentral.